This 439-nucleotide ribosomal RNA is filed under the name uncultured bacterium. Its description in RNAcentral is "partial 16S ribosomal RNA". It matches the Rfam family "Bacterial small subunit ribosomal RNA", at positions 338 to 795 of the family's 1533-position model. The record is from RNAcentral.
CCUACGGGUGGCAGCAGUGGGGAAUAUUGCACAAUGGGGGAAACCCUGAUGCAGCAACGCCGCGUGAGUGAUGACGGCCUUCGGGUUGUAAAGCUCUGUCUUCAGGGACGAUAAUGACGGUACUUGAGGAGGAAGCCCCGGCUAACUACGUGCCAGCAGCCGCGGUAAUACGUAGGGGGCUAGCGUUAUCCGGAAUUACUGGGCGUAAAGGGUGCGUAGGUGGUUUCUUAAGUCAGAGGUGAAAGGCUACGGCUCAACCGUAGUAAGCCUUUGAAACUGGGGAACUUGAGUGCAGGAGAGGAGAGUGGAAUUCCUAGUGUAGCGGUGAAAUGCGUAGAUAUUAGGAGGAACACCAGUUGCGAAGGCGGCUCUCUGGACUGUAACUGACACUGAGGCACGAAAGCGUGGGGAGCAAACAGGAUUAGAUACCCCAGUAGUC